CCCAUCAAUCGCUCAGUAGUCAGUGUAGAUUCUGUCUUUAUAAUCAGCAGCUACAUCUGGCUACUGGGUCUCUGAUGACAUCU
This is a non-coding RNA of Acanthisitta chloris (rifleman), 83 nucleotides long. NCBI's taxonomy places the organism in Eukaryota, Metazoa, Chordata, Aves, Passeriformes, Acanthisittidae. The record is from Rfam.